AUACUUGAGAGUAAUUUUAGUAAUUUUCAACGUUGCAAUGAAAAAAAAAAGAGAGAGAAAAAUAUUCAGUUAGAAAGUUGACUAUACAUCAACAUCAAUACGCUAUUCAAUAAACUCUGCUUAUUUAUGCCUAUAAUCCUCCUUUUAUCUAACAUUAAGCUGACCACCAAACGUUAAAAUCUUUGGAAUAUUUUGAAUAUUUAGUGAAGCAAGUGGUACAUCUCGCCUGGAAGUGCAAAUUAUGUCACGAUUUUCUGAUCAUAGUUGUACCGUUUGGAGAGUUUCUUGGAAUUUAACCGGCACUAUUCUUUCAUCUUCAGGAGAUGACGGUUCCGUUCGAAUGUGGAAAAUGAAUUACUUGAAACAUUGGAAAUGUGCAGCAAUUCUUAAGGAUGGUUCUUCACAAUCACCACAAGAUUCAUCUAUAAACCCAUCAGUAACUACACCAAGUACAACAUUGGCAACGACAAAGUACUACAAGCGUGGAAAUCUAAGCCAUCCAAAUGAAGUUCUUUUGCAUUAGUUGAAAUAUUUAAAAUGUUCUUUUCUGCAUUCAGACUCAAGAAGACUGCUGAAAAAGCACAUUAAAAGGAAUAAACAUGGUUCUUUUCUCGUUUAUUUAAAAAAAAAUCUACUACAUUUAUAAUAUUAUUAAAAUCUGAGCAUGUGACAAUUUCGGAGAUCUGCCCGUUUAAAUUCACGCAAAAAAAUCUUCCAUACUUUUUAUUUCUUUAAAUCUGCGACAAAAUAAAUUGUCGUAGAAAUGGCUUUUAAGCAGGGCCGUAGUCAGCCACAUUGUCUAUAAAAAUUUAAGCAACACUGUCUAUCUGAACUUGGACAUCUAAAGUACCAAAAUAGAGAACUUUGAGCACUUUUAAAAUUCGCAAAAAUAGUAAUCCAUUAGUAGAAUAUGUAUUUGGCAUGGAAAAAUCGAAACUGAACCGUUGGAACUGAACUAACUUAGUUUUGACAUAAAAAUAAUUUUUGACUCACAUUCCAUACAAAAAUAACAAAAAAUAUGGAGACAUGCCUGUGUGAUAUCAUGAAGACGUGAAACUUUCACAGAUUUCAUCACAUUUUUAUGUCUAUUUCAGUAGAUGUCUAAAUUCAAAGAUAGCGCUCUUUUUUGUAUAAAAGUCAUAAAACCGGAAUGUGCACUUUAUUUUACAAAUAACACAUUCGAUUUAGUGUGUGGUUGGAUGAACGACGAUGGCGUCAGAUAACGACAGACCCUGCUAUUCAUUAUGUUUGUUUUUAUUAUUAUGUUUACAUUUGUAUAAAAUAAAACGAUAUCAUAUUUACGAUUAAUUCAAAAAUUUACGAUAAACACACAAACAAA
Long non-coding RNA from Contarinia nasturtii (swede midge), 1339 nucleotides. RefSeq lists it as uncharacterized. NCBI's taxonomy places the organism in Eukaryota, Metazoa, Arthropoda, Insecta, Diptera, Cecidomyiidae. The record is from RefSeq and is a predicted model, not a curated record. The transcript has 2 exons.